This 503-nucleotide ribosomal RNA is filed under the name Endasys sp. BFS-2018. Its description in RNAcentral is "partial 16S large subunit ribosomal RNA". The stretch from base 371 to 503 matches the Rfam family "Archaeal large subunit ribosomal RNA", at positions 2544 to 2676 of the family's 2987-position model. The record is from RNAcentral. Lineage: Eukaryota; Metazoa; Arthropoda; Insecta; Hymenoptera; Ichneumonidae.
AAACAUGUCUUUUUGUAAAGAAUUUAAAGUCUAAUCUGCUCCAUGAUUAAAUUAAAUAGCUGCGGUAUAUUAACCGUACAAAGGUAGCAUAAUCAAUAGUUUUUUAAUUAAAAGCUGGAAUGAAUGAUUUGAUGAAAUAAUUAUUGUCUCAAAUUUAAUAAAAUUAAAAUUUUUUUUUUAGUAAAAAUACUAAAUUAUUUUUAAAAGACGAGAAGACCCUAUAGAUUUUUAUAAUUUUUUUAAAUUAAAAAUUUAAGAUAAUUAUUUAAUUGGGGAAAUUGUUAAAUUAAUUAAAUUUUAAUAUAUUAAUAACAGUGAUUAUUGAUUUUUUGAUCUUAAAAUUUAGAUUAUUAGAUUAAAUUACCUUAGGGAUAACAGCGUAAUUUUUUUAGAUAGAUCUUAUUGAUAAUAAAGAUUGCGACCUCGAUGUUGAAUUAAGAUAAAAUUUUAAUGAAGAAGUWAAAAAAUUUUGGUCUGUUCGACCAUUAAAAUCUUACGUGAUC